This is a long non-coding RNA of Mauremys mutica (yellowpond turtle), 505 nucleotides long. RefSeq lists it as uncharacterized. The transcript is spliced from 4 exons. Lineage: Eukaryota; Metazoa; Chordata; Testudines; Geoemydidae. The record is from RefSeq and is a predicted model, not a curated record.
GUUUAUAAACCCUUUUGUCCCUCAUCCCAGAGAGGUUUUGAGAAGAGUGGUAGCUGCUGGUGGAUUUCUCCAGGACAGACCUAGGAAGUGAGCAAAGUGGAAUACCCCUGCAAGGCGUGAAUGUUGACUAACCACUUGGGCCACACAGGCAACAUUACUUAAUGUGGACAGAUGAGCUGAGUCACGAGGAUGUUAAGUGAGAUGGCAAAAUCCCCUGCCAGUAAAGAUGGUGGUCCACCUACCUUCCAAGAGGGCAGUUGGCAUUAAUUAAUCUCACAUUACUCUAAUUAUUUACACCAUUCCUAAGAAUCACUUUCAUUGGAAAACAGAGAUGAACUUAAUGGUUUGUCAGAAAUGUUGAUUCCUAUGAAGAGUAGUUAUCUCAUACAGGAUUGGACGAGGACACCCUAAGGGAGGAAGGAAUACAGAAGCUCAAUAUCCUUUAAUGGUUAGAGUGCCCUGUUUUAAAUGUCUGUGUGCUGGAAGUAGAAAUGCCCGCAAGAGC